Schistosoma mansoni is the source of this 78-nucleotide non-coding RNA. Lineage: Eukaryota; Metazoa; Platyhelminthes; Trematoda; Strigeidida; Schistosomatidae. The record is from Rfam.
AGCCUUCUGUAUCCGUGCUCAGAUUUUGUCACACAUCAAACCACAAAGGCUGAUGAGACUCCCAAGAAAAGUGAAGCG